UCUCCGUUGGUGAACCAGCGGAGGGAUCAUUACCGAGUUUACAACUCCCAAACCCCUGUGAACAUACCAUUUGUUGCCUCGGCGGUGCCUGCUUCGGCAGCCCGCCAGCGGACCCAAACCCUUGAUUUUAUACAGUAUCUUCUGAGUAAAUGAUUAAAUAAAUCAAAACUUUCAACAACGGAUCUCUUGGUUCUG
This 195-nucleotide unclassified non-coding RNA is filed under the name plant metagenome. RNAcentral's name for it is "partial contains small subunit ribosomal RNA, internal transcribed spacer 1, and 5.8S ribosomal RNA". The record is from RNAcentral.